GCUCUCUCUCUCCUUCCCUCCGGUUGUAAAACCUUGCCGAUCUUCACCCCGGAAUACUCAUUCACUCUCCCAGCUCACCCCUCCCUGGAGAUCCUCCACCACGCUACAGCUACGCUGCUCCCGUUUACCCAUUCACUGGAUUUCCAGUGCACCCUAAGUUCUAGUUACCAAAUAAAUCUUUAUUUUUUCA
Non-coding RNA from Nothobranchius furzeri (turquoise killifish), 190 nucleotides. The record is from RefSeq and is a predicted model, not a curated record. NCBI's taxonomy places the organism in Eukaryota, Metazoa, Chordata, Actinopteri, Cyprinodontiformes, Nothobranchiidae.